UCUUAUUGAAAAUAAUUUUAAGUCUAAUCUGCCCAAUGAAAAUUUUAAUGGCUGCAGUAUCAAUAACUGUACAAAGGUAGCAUAAUAAUUAGUUUUUUAAUUGAAAACUAGAAUGAAAGAUUAAAUGAAAUAUAAACUUUAUUAAUAAAAUUAAAAUUAAACUUAAAUUUUAAGUUAAAAUUCUUAAAUAUUAUUAAAAGACGAGAAGACCCUUUAGAAUUUUAUAUAAAUUAAAAUUAAAAUUAUAAAUAUUAAUAAUAUAAAUUUUAAUUAAUAUUUAAUUGGGGUAAUUUUUUAAUUUUAUAAACUUUAAAAUAAUAAAACAUUAAUUAAUGAACUUAUAAACCUAAAAUUUAGAAUUUUAAAAUAAAUUACC
This 376-nucleotide ribosomal RNA is filed under the name Lysiphlebus fabarum. RNAcentral's name for it is "partial 16S ribosomal RNA". The record is from RNAcentral. Lineage: Eukaryota; Metazoa; Arthropoda; Insecta; Hymenoptera; Braconidae.